This 504-nucleotide long non-coding RNA is filed under the name Macaca fascicularis (crab-eating macaque). RNAcentral's name for it is "lncRNA (ENSMFAG00000047121.2)". The record is from RNAcentral. Lineage: Eukaryota; Metazoa; Chordata; Mammalia; Primates; Cercopithecidae.
AGUGUGAGAAAGAGUUGAAAAUUCAUUUUUUAGCCUGUGAUUAUGAGUUGUCCUAGCAUCAUAUGUUGCAAAGACUCUUCUUUCUCCAUUGAAUUGUCUUUGUGACCUUGUCAAAAAUUAAUUAACCAUAAAUAUAAAGAUUUAUUUCUGGACUCUCAAUCCUAUUCCAUUGUUCUAUAUAUCUAUCCUUAGGCCAGUAUCUUCCAGAGGCAAAAGAUCAUCAGGGUGGCUUUUAGCAGUGGGAAUCCCAGAAGAGCCCACACGGCACCCAGUGGAGAGUCGUUUCAGAGAGUGCAGAGCCAGCUCCCAUGAUACCAGUGAAGGACCUUACAGAUGGGACAAGAGGCCCAGGGAAAUGGAGGACCUGACUUGCUCACACAGCAGAAUCAGAACUAAGACCCAACCAUCCUACCUCUCAACUGAGAGUAACUUCUGCCAGAUCACAGACCUUCUUCUGGGGAAAAGCAAACUAAGACCAUACUUACAAGAAAAGAGGAUACCAGG